AGAGUUUGAUCAUGGCUCAGAAUGAACGUUGGCGGCGUGGAUUAGGCAUGCAAGUCGAGCGAGAACUAGUAGCAAUACUGGGGAAAGCGGCGAAAGGGAGAGUAAUACGUAGGUACCUACCCUCAGGUCUGGGAUAGCUGCGGGAAACUGCAAUUAAUACCGGAUGACGUCUCUGGACCAAAGGUGUGAUUCCGCCAGGGGAUGGGCCUGCGUCCUAUUAGCUAGUUGGCGGGGUAAUGGCCCACCAAGGCAAAGAUGGGUACGGGGUGUGAGAGCAUGCCCCCGCUCACUGGGACUGAGACACUGCCCAGACACCUACGGGUGGCUGCAGUCGAGGAUCUUCCGCAAUGGGCGCAAGCCUGACGGAGCGACGCCGCGUGCGGGAUGAAGGCCUUCGGGUUGUAAACCGCUGUCAGUGGGGAGCAAAUGCAUCAGGGUUCUCCCUGGUGUUGAGCGAUCCGCAGAGAG
RNAcentral lists this ribosomal RNA (468 nucleotides) under uncultured Pirellula sp. RNAcentral describes it as "bacterial SSU rRNA". It matches the Rfam family "Bacterial small subunit ribosomal RNA", at positions 8 to 488 of the family's 1533-position model. Lineage: Bacteria; Pseudomonadati; Planctomycetota; Planctomycetia; Pirellulales; Pirellulaceae. The record is from RNAcentral.